GAGCAGUCUCAUCAUCCCAUCUUUGACCAUAAGACGAAGCGACAUCGUUAACGGAACCAAUCCCCAACGUACGUCCUUUUUUCUUAGGGACGACCUUUAAAAAAAAAAUUAAUGUUAGUUAGUGAUAAAAUGUUAUAAUAAAUGAAUAAUAAUAAAAAAAAAUUGUACCUCCUCAUAAAUCUUAUCCACUUCAUGUGUGGAUAAUUUGACAGAUAUUCCAUCAGGGGACUACUGGAUCAGCUGUGUUUGGCGCUCUUCAAUCCGAGAAACCAUGUCGUUGUAGAUUUGCUCAUACCUACGAUCUACAAAUUU
This 312-nucleotide long non-coding RNA is filed under the name Brassica rapa (field mustard). RNAcentral describes it as "long non-coding RNA (BRAP_LNC005684)". Lineage: Eukaryota; Viridiplantae; Streptophyta; Magnoliopsida; Brassicales; Brassicaceae. The record is from RNAcentral.